This 442-nucleotide ribosomal RNA is filed under the name uncultured bacterium. RNAcentral describes it as "partial 16S ribosomal RNA". It matches the Rfam family "Bacterial small subunit ribosomal RNA", at positions 339 to 795 of the family's 1533-position model. The record is from RNAcentral.
CUACGGGAUGCAGCAGUGGGGAAUAUUGGGCAAUGGGCGCAAGCCUGACCCAGCAACGCCGCGUGAGGGAAGAAUGUCUUCGGAUUGUAAACCUCUGUCCUUGGGGACGAAAAAAAUGACGGUACCCAAGGAGGAAGCUCCGGCUAACUACGUGCCAGCAGCCGCGGUAAUACGUAGGGAGCAAGCGUUGUCCGGAAUUAUUGGGCGUAAAGGGUGCGUAGGCGGCGCGGUAAGUCAGAUGUGAAAUCCCCGGGCUUAACUCGGGAGUUGCAUUUGAAACUACAGUGCUUGAGUAAAGAAGGGGUAAGUGGAAUGCCUAGUGUAGCGGUGGAAUGCGUAGAUAUUAGGAGGAACACCAGUGGCGAAGGCGACUUACUGGUCUUUUACUGACGCUGAGGCACGAAAGCGUGGGGAGCAAACAGGAUUAGAUACCCUAGUAGUC